Molecule: ribosomal RNA, 468 nt
Filed under: uncultured bacterium
Lineage: Bacteria
Description: partial 16S ribosomal RNA
Rfam family: Bacterial small subunit ribosomal RNA
Source: RNAcentral
GACGAACGCUGGCGGCGUGCUUAACGCAUGCAAGUCGAACGGAAAGGCCCUGCCUUGGUGGGGUGCUCGAGUGGCGAACGGGUGAGUAACACGUGAGUAACCUGCCCCUGACUUUGGGAUAACUUCAGGAAACUGGGGCUAAUACCGGAUAGGAGCUCCUGCUGCAUGGGGGGGGUUGGAAAGUUUCGGCGGUUGGGGAUGGACUCGCGGCUUAUCAGCUUGUUGGUGGGGUAGUGGCUUACCAAGGCGUUGACGGGUAGCCGGCCUGAGAGGGUGACCGGCCACACUGGGACUGAGAUACGGCCCAGACUCCUACGGGAGGCAGCAGUGGGGAAUAUUGCACAAUGGGCGGAAGCCUGAUGCAGCGACGCCGCGUGCGGGAUGACGGCCUUCGGGUUGUAAACCGCUUUCGCCUGUGACGAAGCGUGAGUGACGGUAAUGGGUAAAGAAGCACCGGCUAACUACGUG